AGUGAACGCUGGCGGUAGGCCUAACACAUGCAAGUCGAACGGCAGCACAGUAAGAGCUUGCUCUUACGGGUGGCGAGUGGCGGACGGGUGAGGAAUACAUCGGAAUCUACUUUUUCGUGGGGGAUAACGUAGGGAAACUUACGCUAAUACCGCAUACGACCUACGGGUGAAAGCAGGGGAUCUUCGGACCUUGCGCGACUGAAUGAGCCGAUGUCGGAUUAGCUAGUUGGCGGGGUAAAGGCCCACCAAGGCGACGAUCCGUAGCUGGUCUGAGAGGAUGAUCAGCCACACUGGAACUGAGACACGGUCCAGACUCCUACGGGAGGCAGCAGUGGGGAAUAUUGGACAAUGGGCGCAAGCCUGAUCCAGCCAUACCGCGUGAGUGAAGAAGGCCUUCGGGUCGUAAAGCCCUGUUGUUGGGAAAGAAAAGCAGCAGGUUAAUACCCCGCUGUUCUGACGGUACCCAAAGAAUAAGCACCGGCUAACUUCGUG
Molecule: ribosomal RNA, 492 nt
Filed under: uncultured bacterium
Lineage: Bacteria
Description: partial 16S ribosomal RNA
Rfam family: Bacterial small subunit ribosomal RNA
Source: RNAcentral